CCUUCCAUAGCUCAGUUGGUAGAGCGGGAGACUGUAGUUUUAUAAUUGUGAUCCCUAGGUCGCUGGUUCGAAUCCUUCUCGAAGGC
This 86-nucleotide transfer RNA is filed under the name Nematostella vectensis (starlet sea anemone). It matches the Rfam family "tRNA". From Rfam's summary of the family: Transfer RNA (tRNA) molecules are approximately 80 nucleotides in length. Their secondary structure includes four short double-helical elements and three loops (D, anti-codon, and T loops). The record is from Rfam by way of RNAcentral. Lineage: Eukaryota; Metazoa; Cnidaria; Anthozoa; Actiniaria; Edwardsiidae.